CCUACGGGGGGCAGCAGUGAGGAAUAUUGGUCAAUGGGCGGAAGCCUGAACCAGCCAAGUAGCGUGCAGGAUGACGGCCCUACGGGUUGUAAACUGCUUUUAUACGGGAAUAACGCGCCUUACGUGUAGGGCUUUGCAUGUACCGUAUGAAUAAGGUCCGGCUAAUUCCGUGCCAGCAGCCGCGGUAAUACGGAAGGUCCGGGAGUUAUCCGGAUUUAUUGGGUUGAAGGGGAGCGUAGGCCGCAUGUCAAGCGUGCUGUGAAAUGUCCGGGCUCAACCCGGGCCUUGCAGCGCGAACUGGGGUGCUUGAGUCCGCGGAAGGGAGGCGGAAUUCGUCGUGUAGCGGUGAAAUGCUUAGAUAUGACGAAGAACCCCGAUUGCGAAGGCAGCUUGCUGCAGCGGAACUGACGCUGAUGCUCGAAAGCGCGGGUAUCGAACAGGAUUAGAUACCCGAGUAGUC
RNAcentral lists this ribosomal RNA (460 nucleotides) under uncultured bacterium. RNAcentral's name for it is "partial 16S ribosomal RNA". It matches the Rfam family "Bacterial small subunit ribosomal RNA", at positions 338 to 795 of the family's 1533-position model. The record is from RNAcentral.